RNAcentral lists this transfer RNA (74 nucleotides) under Desulfocicer vacuolatum DSM 3385. RNAcentral's name for it is "Desulfobacterium vacuolatum DSM 3385 tRNA". It matches the Rfam family "tRNA". From Rfam's summary of the family: Transfer RNA (tRNA) molecules are approximately 80 nucleotides in length. The record is from Rfam by way of RNAcentral. Lineage: Bacteria; Pseudomonadati; Thermodesulfobacteriota; Desulfobacteria; Desulfobacterales; Desulfobacteraceae.
GCGCCAGUAGCUCAGCUGGAUAGAGCAACGGACUUCUAAUCCGUAGGUCGCAGGUUCGAGUCCUGCCUGGCGUA